RNAcentral lists this long non-coding RNA (1204 nucleotides) under Crocodylus porosus (Australian saltwater crocodile). RNAcentral's name for it is "lncRNA (ENSCPRG00005015000.1)". Lineage: Eukaryota; Metazoa; Chordata; Crocodylia; Crocodylidae. The record is from RNAcentral.
GAAAAAUAGAAGAACAUUUUGUUCCUAUUACCAUGGAAGGAGACUAGGGUGAGCGCCGAGAUGCUGCAUGUCCCUCUUGUUAUUUCGCUCUCGAGUUUGGCUCAGCCACUGAGAAACUGCGUGAAGGGCUGGAUCCCUGAACGGGCAUUCAUUGGCAUAGCUGCAGUGAAGAUAUGAUCACGACUGCUCCAUUUAAGAUCCCAGCUCAGUUUUUAUCUGAUGGUCCCAAGAAGAGAAAAAGAAAAGCCAAGGGUUAUCUCCAGCGAGGACGGGGUUUGCACCUUCCAACAGAUUGCGGCACCUACGUUCACUUGAACUUUGGCUCCUAUUGAGGAAGACCUAGGAAUUCGUCUCCCAGCGGGAGCAUCCAUCCCUCUUCCCAUCAGCGUUUGGCCUGCGUCUAGCGCCAGCCGACGCUUUCAAGACUGGCACGUGUAUUCAAUCUCACCUCUUCCGCUUCUCCCUGGCUUCAAGACGGACACGUCUGCGGAGCACUGCUUCCCCCCCGGCCUUGCAGCGAGUUAAAAAAUGGUCUGUUCUCCCUAGCCCCCAGCCUCACCUCACUUUCUACCUCCCAUCCUCUUUGCAGGGCUAAUGCAAACAAGAUGUCCCAAGGAAAGCAUUCUUCAGCCCAGCCCCAUCUGUCUCUUUGAUUGACGGGAGACUGGCUCGGGGAGCCACUUAAAGGAGGGGAUGAAAGAUGUGUUGCCGCAUCUCCUGAGUCCUACGGCAGCAAAGCACGGUGUGUUGUGCCACCGCACACUCCUCUUUCGAGAGGUGAAGCCAUGUGAGGAGUUCAGACCGGCCUGUGCAGAUGGCUUCGUCUCCAGAGGACCAGCUGCUUUCCAGUCCAGCAAAGAUAAACAGGUCAAGACUGGAGAAGAGACCGAGGGUCGCCUUUCAGACAGCCAGUUUUUUCUGUAGGAAAACGAGGGAGCAGAUUGCUGCAUCAGCAGAUGUGUUCAGCCCUAUGAAAGAACUACAGGGCUGGCAGGGCCCUCAGGAGGUCACCUGGACCAACCCCCUGCUCGCGGCAAGCUCAUCCCUGGCUAAACCGUCCCAGGCAGAUGUUUUUCCAACUGCAAAGGGAACCAUGCUGCAAAAAAAACCGAACAAAACCCGAAGGAUUUCCAAGCCCUCUCAUGAGCUACUUGGCCGUGACUUAGUGAGAUAUCAGCCCCUGCCUGGAGUCGUCCCCUGCUAA